This 113-nucleotide ribosomal RNA is filed under the name Chitinophaga parva. Its description in RNAcentral is "partial 16S ribosomal RNA". It matches the Rfam family "Bacterial small subunit ribosomal RNA", at positions 1 to 107 of the family's 1533-position model. Lineage: Bacteria; Pseudomonadati; Bacteroidota; Chitinophagia; Chitinophagales; Chitinophagaceae. The record is from RNAcentral.
UUUACAAUGGAGAGUUUGAUCCUGGCUCAGGAUGAACGCUAGCGGCAGGCCUAAUACAUGCAAGUCGAGGGGCAGCACAGGUAGCAAUACUGGGUGGCGACCGGCAAACGGGU